CCUACGGGAGGCAGCAGUGGGGAAUAUUGCACAAUGGGGGAAACCCUGAUGCAGCGACGCCGCGUGAGUGAAGAAGUAUUUCGGUAUGUAAAGCUCUAUCAGCAGGGAAGAAAUAAAGUCCUUCGGACUUUGGACGGUACCUGACUAAGAAGCCCCGGCUAACUACGUGCCAGCAGCCGCGGUAAUACGGAGGAUGCGAGCGUUAUCCGGAUUUAUUGGGUUUAAAGGGUGCGCAGGCGGAAGAUCAAGUCAGCGGUAAAAUUGAGAGGCUCAACCUCUUCGAGCCGUUGAAACUGGUUUUCUUGAGUGAGCGAGAAGUAUGCGGAAUGCGUGGUGUAGCGGUGAAAUGCAUAGAGAUCAUACAGAACACCGAUUGCGAAGGCAGCUUACCAAACUACGACUGACGUUGAGGCACGAAAGCGUGGGGAGCAAACAGGAUUAGAUACCCCGGUAGUC
Molecule: ribosomal RNA, 456 nt
Filed under: uncultured bacterium
Lineage: Bacteria
Description: partial 16S ribosomal RNA
Rfam family: Bacterial small subunit ribosomal RNA
Source: RNAcentral